AUAUGUGAGAGAGAAAGAGAAAGAGAAAGGAAAUCAAAACGAACAGAGACAUAUACAUAUGACGCGUUUGCGUGAGAACGCUUUUACGCAUCAUUUUUGGGGGGGAAAUGAUCAUACAAUGCAUACGUAUAUAUAUAUAUAUAUAAACAUUUAUAUAUGUGUGUGCACAUUUAGAGUUGCGAUCACACAUGCAAUCGUUUUCUUCAGCAACGUCGUUCCUGUCAGUUCAGCUUGAGCGCGUAUUCGACAAUCUUGCAACGGUCAUACGUUUCUUAUAGAUUAUUAUUAUUAUUCAUAUUUUCUUAAUUAGAUUCAAAAUCGCGUGUUUUGUAAUAUAAAUUAGUCUUCUUUUGUUCUCUCUUUAGGUGUCUCGAAAUAAACUUUAAACUCGAAAUUAACUUUCAUAACAGUUAGCUAUAUUCACGCGUUGGUAACAAUAAUAAAGGAAAGUUCUGAGGAAAAAAUAUCUUCCCGUUCGAUGGCACGACGAAUGAACAAACGAACGAACGAACGAUCAUGCGGAAGACGGGCCCAACGUAGCCCGGAAGCGUGUAAAUCGACCUUUAAGGUUCGUCGAUCGGUAAGGCGGACAACACUCGUCGAGUACAGAAGAGUGAGAGAAAAAGGGUGCGCGAAAAGCAGGAAGCGUCGAUGUGGGGCAAAUUCCAGUGACCGUAGCGGUGUAACGAAACUAAGAAGGGCAAAAAAGUUGACCUCGAGUUUCAAGGGUAGAGAAGGCAGUCAUCCGCCCCUCUACGUUAGUAGAAGGGGGGAUCUACGAGCCAUAACUCUCGUAUUCUUCACGAAGGAAACGAACGAAAGAGAGAAGGCGACGUUGACUCGGCGUCGAUGCCGGUAGUCUCCCGCCAUCCCCACCGGCCAAAUCAAGCAUCCCGAUUGGCCGAAGCGUCCUGGCCCUCCUUUGUGAGGGAGCGGGUGAAAGCGUGGCUUGGCAACGUCGCGCAAGUUCAACGCUGCCCGCUAGAAAGAAGGCUAACCUCGUGUGAAAGCGAAAGAGAGAGAAAGAGAGACGGAUCGACGCGUAUGGCGAAGUGGAAGGAGUAGAAGGGAGGAAAGGAGAAAGAAAGAGAGAGAAAGAGAGAGAAAGAGAGAGAGAGAGAGACGAAACGAGCGAACGUUCGACCGGGCCGGACCUCGUCAGGUUGUUCUCUUCCGUGUCCUCUGUGUGCGAAAUCGAACACGCGAGCUUAAUGCGACGAUAAAAGCUAUCCAAAAGAUCUUUCUAUCUUUCUUUCUUUCUCUCUUUCUUCAGAGUCACGCUUUCUUCUCCAUGCGGGCGGACCAUUAGCGUGUUCCACGAGGAGUAUUUACGACUCCUCAGUGGCCGCCAUCGGUAUCACGGCUCGCGUCGCGGUCGAACGUCGCGCGCGCUUUUACGCACGGCGUUAUCGUCGUUACUUCGUCGUCUUCAUCCUCGUCAUCUUCGUCGUCGCCGUUGUCGCCGUUGGUGCUGCUGUUGCUGUUGCUGCUGCGCGUAGGCGCACGAGAGAAAGAUCGAAGGAUUUCAUUCGUUUAGGAGAGAGGGAAAGAGAAAGCGCGAUCGUUUGAGUCGGAAAAAAGAGAGAGAAAAAGAGAGGGGCGGUGGGGGGGGAGAGGUUAAAGAAACAAAGAAAGAACUACGAAGCAAAGUAUGUUCGCGAAAGCUGAUAGAACAAUGGAGUUUGGAUAUAGCGAGCAUAGAUGUGGUAAUAGGAGUGUCGUCGUUGGUAGCGGUGAUUAGAAAAAUUAACGAAUGCGCUUGGUUAGCGUUAGAAAGAAAUAGAAAGAAAGAAAGAAAGAAAGAAA
Molecule: long non-coding RNA, 1806 nt
Filed under: Polistes canadensis
Lineage: Eukaryota; Metazoa; Arthropoda; Insecta; Hymenoptera; Vespidae
Description: uncharacterized LOC106785592, transcript variant X1
Source: RNAcentral